GUCGAGCAUGCGAUGGCUGCAGCAGCUGGAGAACUCGGGAGGUCAUUAUGGCUCUUCACACACAGGAGAGAAGAAAGAGGGAGGAGCAGAGAGCAGAGGAAACUGAGCUGACAGCGCGUGGCCGGUCAGCCGCGGCGUGGUCUGUUAGAGGGAGUGGAAUUUACAGCUCUGCAGCAGCAUGAUGAGAAAAACUACUUCUCUGGGAACACCUCGGGAAAUGUAAGUGCUUCCCUCCCAAAAAACGGCAGGGAUGUGUGAAACAGUCGGACAGACAGGUGUAGGUGGAACAGGGAAAGUUGCUUUCAUGUGUAUGGAUCUGCUUGCUUGCUCGCUAGAAUACUGUUUCCACCUCCCUCGCUCGCUCUUGUGCCCUACCUUACGCUCUCCAUGUCUCUUGCUUUUCCAGUGCUGGUCAGGCAGCAGGCUGCUGCAGCACAGCACUCUCUGGCUCAUUACCUCCUCAUGGAUGCAGCACCAAAGACAUCUAAAAGACGGACUCAGAAACUCACUGUCCCUGAAGCGUGCAGCUUUUAUCUUGGAUCUUUUUCACUCUGAGGCACUUUCAGAUGGAAUACAACUCUUAUCGGGAUGGUUGCACACUUUGCCAAAACUCAAUUUUCCAGUGGCCAGCCAUAAUUACUGGAACCAUGUUUGGUGUUUCAAGACCGUUUUUGUAACAGCAGGGGGACAGGUGUAUGCUAGCCAUGGAGGGACAUUGGUGUCACAGUGGGACGCAAGUUUCAGGCCAGGUGGGGGGUGGAUCGGAUUUGAUGGAAAAACAGACGUGUUGGCAUAUUAAUUCGCUAGGGAGGGCGGUUCGGUGGCUGCUGGAUGUGUGUGUCAGUGAGUGAACCCACAACACCCAGGGUAGUAACCCAGUUUCUCUCUGUCUCUCUGCAUGCUUUCUAAUCACUAGGCAGGGGCAGAGCUGUAGUGCUGCAGUGCCAUCUCCCCCUCUCAACACACUCAUCCCUAAAUCUUUACUAACACUGUGGCGCCACAAGAGUCCAGCCAUACCUUGCCAUCAUAUCUAACCCCGUCAAGCACCACAAACCCAUCCAGGAUUUCCACCCCUGCCCAGAAUAGCCUGUCUAAGUGUCCUUCUGUUAUGUUUCCACCCCUGCACCUCUCAUUUUGGCCUGGUAUUGGAUAGGCUCCUGAGAGGAGGGGGAUGAGACAGGGCGGUGUUGACUUGUGGAAUGUGUGGAGCUGGAGCAAAGAUUCAUUAGAGAGCUACUGAACAUUUCAAGCUGCCAUGCAAACAGUUAUUGAUCUCUAGCACACAGCAUUAGAGCUCUACAGAAGCUUCUAGAAUAAACACACCCAGGUCAAAAAAAAAAAAAAAAAAAGAAUAUGGGGGGGUUGCAGGUAAAAAGAAGGGGAGUAGGAGAGGAGAAUCAGCACACUAGUGACCAAUCACUAUUGCUGAGUGGGCAUUAGCUCUUGCAUGUGACCUCUGGCCUGGUUUGUGUGGCUAAAGCCCAAAUCCUGCUCACAAUAGCUUCCUGUUCCACUUGGAUCAACCUCAUUUUUGGACCUCAGUAACCAUUCUGACAUACAACUGAGAAUGUGGUUAAACAACGGACAACCAGAUGGAAAACGGGUAAAAAGGAGAUGCAUACCAUGUUAAGGACACUGUUACAUUAGAAAUGUCUUUUUUUUUCUCUAAGGAGCCCUUUGAACUUUCAUGGACAAGAACUUCAGGCAACAAGGACAUCACAGGACCACUGUCCCCCUGGUUUUCAACAACAUUUUUAAAAAAAAUUUAGAAAAAGACUAACUUUUUACCCCCCCAAAAAAAAAUAUAUGGCACUUUUCUUUUCCAGAUUCCCUACGGAUACCCCAAACUCUCUCGAGGACAGCCAAGGUCAACAGAAGAUACAAAACUGAGUGAACCCCAAUAUGUGUUAUACGCACUUGGAACGCAGUGUUGGGAUAAGGCAAAAGAAAAAAGCGUGACCUAAAGAAUCUGUGAAAGUCACUUUAUGUAUAAUCCACUGCAUUCUGCAGGAUGGUUAAAAAAAAAAACCCCGCCACUGAUCUACUGAUGUGAUUAAACGUGUUUGGUUUAAAUAAGGGCCACGCUAACCAAACAUCACAUCAAAGAAGGUAAGGAAACUCAGCUGUGCCUGGGGCUGCCUACUUGGUGUACAUACUUCUUUAUGUGCCCAUAUGAACAUAUGACAGCUAUGGAAUGUAAAGAAGUAUGUAUUCUUGGUCAGGUGCUGAUCCUCAGUUUACAAAAUGUGUCAAUUCUCUGCAUCACUGAAUAUGGGUACAUGGAAACCGUGUGAUGGAUUUUGUAACUGGGGUGCAGAAACUUACUGCAGCAGUGGAUUCUGAGAGAAGUUGCUGCUCUUUCAGUGACUUCACCAGCAGUCCACACCAGCUCUCCCUAAUUUAGCAACUGACAUGCUGUGACAGAUUGUCAUGCUAUAGUUCAUUUCUGCAGACUAUGGGUAGAUAAUGGUUUGUAGUGCCCAUGCCCACUUUCUUGGUGAAAGAAUGACUUCAGUCACUGCUUCCUCAAAGAUCCAAUAACGGCUCGAGACAUCGCCAUAGGAACAGGAGCUCCUUUCAUUAUUGGAGGGUUUGCUGCAUUCUAAGCUUUGAAUUAUGGCCAGCUGCAACUAAGAUCCUGUUUUUGCAGGAGUGGCAUGUGCCAGAACCAUUAAUGCCUUCAUCUUUUCAAACUUGUCUAGAGAGGGGUAAGUUUAGGACAACUUCACUUUUUUUGUCCCUUAAACGUUUUAUCUCGCUACAGGGAAGCUGCUGAGGUAACAGUUCCAUAAAGGUGAGCAGAGCUUGGCUAUUAAAAAGGAAGCUUCUCUCACAUUGUGGGAUAGUACCGUUGUCGGUUUCACCCUGACACCCGUUUCUGCCCCUAUUGUUCAUGUUUGCUAGGCUUGCCAAAUGCUUUGCUGGACCACAGAGUAGUCAGAUUAGAGCAUGGAAAAGUGACAAUGCAGGAUCAGAGUUGGCUCUGCCUGUCAGCUGAUUCCAAUUGUCCUACAAAAGGUAGAAUGGGGGCCUCUUUUUCACUUUUGGACUGCUGGUGUGCAGCAGGUCACAAUAAAAAUCACUGUAAAAACAGCAGAAUGAAUGUACAAGUAGAACAAAUCAAUGCUGAACUUUUAAACCGAUCAACAGGUUAUCAAACAGUUGUGGGAGGGGACAAGAUAACAGAGGACAGUUAUACUUUCAGGGGUUUAAAUGCUUCCCUACUCUGGGUGUUUGGCGGCACACCACGUCAUCUAUCUACUGAGGUAAUACUUGAUUCAUGGUGAUGACUAAGGUCAGAGCACCGCUGCAAUUUCUUGCAUAGCAUCUGAUAAAAGCUUCUGUUUUAAACCUCUCACUCACUUGUGUUACCAAUCAAGAAAAAUUUCAAGUAUGCAUUGUGUGCAAAGAUACAGUAAGGAUUUUUGGUCAUGACUUGAGCCUGGGAGAGCUUGUGGCCUAUUUUUCUGAAUGUCAGACACUCCCGUCUGUCCUCUGUAGGGCUGUGCUCUUUCCAUUUUUGUGCACCGCUUGCUGUAUGGUUCGCUCCUGUCAGUCGUGUGGCUGUGUUCCCUCUUUCUCACCCUCAACCCCAGACUGAGUGACACCCACAGCAGAUGCUGACAUUAUCAAAUGUUCAGUUGAUGUCCCUGGCUUUUGCCCUCUUAUGGCCAGUGUAUUUGGGGGCCGAACUUUGUCCAAAGUUCUGCAAUCGAGUGUCUGUGUAACGCAGGGAGGGGGAUCUGUGGUGCAAAUAGCACUUUACUGACCCCUCUCUAAUGAGCGCCAUAUUGAGCAGCGAUGAACCCUUGCUGACACUCUCAGCUGGCCACCUGCUAAGGAGCUAAAGAUGCUUUUUGGCUGCCUCUAAGCUGAUGGACAGGUGACUGCAUCUUACAAAGCAACACUCUGGCUUGUUGCGCUCACUAUGCGUCACCAAAUUUUUUUGUGGAGUUGCUUCUGUCCCAGACUGUGACUGAUAUGUAGUACAAAUAUCUUUAUUAGUCACUGAGCAGUCUCAGAGGAGCUCUCACCACACUCCCUUAUUGUAUUAAGCGGGCAAAUUAGCCCUACAAUUUAGCUGAGUAUGACUGAAUCUUUUCCAAAUUUAGAAAGUGACAACUACAAACAGCAGCACAUGCUGACAUCUUGAUCGCCCAUGUGACACUGCCCUCAGCAGGCUCAAUCAGCUGCUGUAAUUGCUACAAGACUUGUGGACACUUGACUCAAGUGCACAACGAUAGAUUAUAUUUUUAGUACAUUCCUCUUUUUAAUAAAGAGAAAGAAAACCUUUGGAGUGCAGUGAAAUUAUUUUUCAUAGCUGUAGAGCCUGAAAUGAGCCCAUGUGACAUUUCAUGUCACGUUUCACAAAUUUUACUGCUUAAGGUCAUGAAACAGGGUCAAAUAAGCGGUUUAUUUUCAGUAUCAUUAACAGCAAACCACAAUGCUUUGCUAAAGCUGGUAAAAUGGAACCAAAUCACCUCUUCAAUGGAUUUGGUCCCCUUCAACCAGCUGUAGCUAUGCUUUGAUGACAACAUAAAUGAAUGGGUUUUAUCUUGCUCUUUUGCUUCCACAGGGAAUGAGAUUAUAUAUUCCAUUAAUUUGAGAGUGACAAAGUUUAUUCUAAUAAAUGUUAUUACAAAGUACUGUGAUUGCCUUUUCUACAAGCCAAACAUAUUUUUAAUAGGAAAAAAAAGUAGGUUAAAAUAUAAAUGCAUCAUUAGAAAGUAGGCAAGGAUACAAAGUUCUGAAAAGAAGGUAAUGUGACGCAAUGGGGAUGUAAAGUUGGGCUAAGACAAGACUGACAUCCACAUAACUGAACAGUACACAUGGAAACGGAGAGCAAAAGAAAGUCGAGGGAGAGGGGAGGACAGCAGUUGCAGCACAAGCUCACUGCGACACAUGCGGGUAGCCUGCGUGCCUCUCGGUAAGCCUGCUCUGCCUGCAGACAGGGGAGUGGAGAUGAAAGCCAGAUGCUUCUAAGUGUGGGGGGUUAUACACACAGAUCAUACUCAGAGAGAGUCCACCAAUUAUGGCGCUAUGGCACACUGACGCAGCGCAGGCAUGCGGUGUGAACCUCCCUCUCCUCUGCAUCAGAGCAGCAUCCUUCCUUCAGUCACAUGGAUCGCAACGCUGCAUCAUAAUUUCACCCAUAAUUACGCUGAUCUGCCACCAUGUCAUGCUGAACCUGUUCUGCACCUCCAUGCAUAUCAUGUAUCAGUUCAUAUACAGAGGUAAUUGACAUAUCCAUAUUGACAUGUUUAUGGUCUAUGUUGUAACUGCUGUGACUGGUCACUAUGAGCUAAGUGAAAUGAGCUCAUAAAAGGGUCAAUGACAGAUAAAGCGUAUACAAUAAGGAAAGGUCAAUUAAAAGUCAAAAUCUAGUUUAAAAUGUAAAAUUCUUAGAAAUGUUCGUGUUGGUUUUUAAAAACUGUUCUAUUCUAUCAUUUUUAAUAAAAUGUUGAAAUUUAAUGGUUCAUUCUAACAAACU
This is a long non-coding RNA of Cyprinus carpio (common carp), 5491 nucleotides long. RefSeq lists it as uncharacterized. The transcript is spliced from 2 exons. The record is from RefSeq and is a predicted model, not a curated record. Lineage: Eukaryota; Metazoa; Chordata; Actinopteri; Cypriniformes; Cyprinidae.